CCAGCCCGCUCAGAAACUCAAAUGAAUUGACGGGGCCCGCACAAGCGUGGAGCACGUGGUUUAAUUCGAUGCAAACCGAAGAACCUUACCUGGGUUUGACAUGUACGUGUUACUGAGGUGAAAGCUGAGGGACCACAUCUUCGGAUGUGGAGCGUACACAGGUGCUGCAUGGUUGUCGUCAGCUCGUGCCGUGAGGUGUCGGGUUAAGUCCCAUAACGAGCGCAACCCCUACUGCUAGUUGCCAGCGGGUCAUGCCGGGGACUCUAGCGGAACUGCCAGCGUAAGCUGCGAGGAAGGUGGGGAUGACGUCAAAUCAGCACGGCCCUUACGUCCAGGGCUACACACGUGUUACAAUGGCCAGUACAGAGGGCAGCCACCCCGCGAGGGGGCGCUAAUCCUAAAAGCUGGUCCCAGUUCGGAUCGGAGUCUGCAACCCGACUCCGUGAAGCUGGAUUCGCUAGUAAUCGCGCAUCAGCCACGGCGCGGUGAAUACGUUCCCGGGCCUU
Molecule: ribosomal RNA, 506 nt
Filed under: uncultured Rikenellaceae bacterium
Lineage: Bacteria; Pseudomonadati; Bacteroidota; Bacteroidia; Bacteroidales; Rikenellaceae
Description: bacterial SSU rRNA
Rfam family: Bacterial small subunit ribosomal RNA
Source: RNAcentral